UAUGCCGCAAUAUGCACACGCGACUUAUGUGUUCUUAUCAGCUUAUUAUCUGAUACGAGUCCUAUUUCGACUCAAGAUAAUAAACUAAUUUUUGCCAGUUGGCGCCGCGAAGGCGCUUGCUCCUCCGGCGCCCCGGGUUGUCCCGGCGUUGCACUGCUGCCGGGUUCGGCUCCACGACC
Molecule: small nuclear RNA, 179 nt
Filed under: Haemaphysalis longicornis (longhorned tick)
Lineage: Eukaryota; Metazoa; Arthropoda; Arachnida; Ixodida; Ixodidae
Description: U2 spliceosomal RNA
Rfam family: U2 spliceosomal RNA
About the family: U2 is a small nuclear RNA (snRNA) component of the spliceosome (involved in pre-mRNA splicing). Complementary binding between U2 snRNA (in an area lying towards the 5' end but 3' to hairpin I) and the branchpoint sequence (BPS) of the intron results the bulging out of an unpaired adenosine, on the BPS, which initiates a nucleophilic attack at the intronic 5' splice site, thus starting the first of two transesterification reactions that mediate splicing.
Source: Rfam by way of RNAcentral